CUGCCCCUAGUACGAGAGGACCGGGGUGGACGGACCUCUGGUGUAUCAGUUGUCCUGCCAUGGGCACAGCUGAGUAGCUACGUCCGGAAAGGAUAAGCGCUGAAAGCAUCUAAGCGCGAAGCCUACUUCAAGAUAAGGUCUCCCUUUCCUUCAAGGAAGUAAGAUCCCAGGAAGACGACCUGGUUGAUAGGCCGGAGGUAUAAGGAUGGUAACAUCUUCAGCCGACCGGUACUAAUUGAUCGAGAGGCUUAACCUCU
RNAcentral lists this ribosomal RNA (257 nucleotides) under Bacillota bacterium. RNAcentral describes it as "Firmicutes bacterium (anaerobic digester metagenome) partial 23S ribosomal RNA". It matches the Rfam family "Bacterial large subunit ribosomal RNA", at positions 2672 to 2925 of the family's 2925-position model. Lineage: Bacteria; Bacillati; Bacillota. The record is from RNAcentral.